Molecule: non-coding RNA, 149 nt
Organism: Cucurbita pepo subsp. pepo (vegetable marrow)
Lineage: Eukaryota; Viridiplantae; Streptophyta; Magnoliopsida; Cucurbitales; Cucurbitaceae
Source: RefSeq, a predicted model, not a curated record
UAAUUUCUCAAAGAUUCCAUGCCGUCAUAGGCAUUCGGCGGCGAUUUCUCCGAAUGUUUGUUACCAUUCGCAUUCAGAUGGAGGAGUUCAUUUGUGUGACUGGAAGGCGGCAGAUUGAUCGAAAUCGGAACUUUCGAGAUAGUUACAGG